Molecule: ribosomal RNA, 780 nt
Filed under: uncultured bacterium
Lineage: Bacteria
Description: bacterial SSU rRNA
Rfam family: Bacterial small subunit ribosomal RNA
Source: RNAcentral
AGAGUUUGAUCCUGGCUCAGGACGAACGCUGGCGGCGUGCUUAAUACAUGCAAGUCGAACGGGGUCCAACCGGUGGCAACACCGGUGAAGACCUAGUGGCGAACGGGUGAGUAGCACGUGAGCAACCUGCCCCGAAGACUGGGAUAACACCGGGAAACCGGUGCUAAUACCGGAUGUCCCCAUCAGACCGCAUGAUCUGAUGAGGAAAGGAUUUCUGCUUCGGGAGGGGCUCGCGGCCUAUCAGCUUGAUGGUGAGGUAAUGGCUCACCAUGGCGACGACGGGUAGCUGGUCUGAGAGGACGAUCAGCCACACUGGGACUGAGACACGGCCCAGACUCCUACGGGAGGCAGCAGUAGGGAAUCUUGCGCAAUGGGCGAAAGCCUGACGCAGCAACGCCGCGUGAGGGACGAAGGCUUUCUGAGUUGUAAACCUCUUUCAGCAGGGACGAUUGUGACGGUACCUGCAGAAGAAGCACCGGCCAACUACGUGCCAGCAGCCGCGGUGAUACGUAGGGUGCGAGCGUUGUCCGGAUUUAUUGGGCGUAAAGAGCUCGUAGGCGGUUCGAUAAGUCGGGUGUGAAAUCUCCAGGCUCAACCUGGAGUCGCCACUCGAUACUGUCGUGACUAGAGUCCGGUAGGGGACCAUGGAAUUCCUGGUGUAGCGGUGAAAUGCGCAGAUAUCAGGAGGAACACCAGUAGCGAAGGCGGUGGUCUGGGCCGGCACUGACGCUGAGGAGCGAAAGCGUGGGGAGCGAACAGGAUUAGAUACCCCGGUAGUCC